Long non-coding RNA from Astatotilapia calliptera (eastern happy), 1422 nucleotides. The record is from Ensembl. Lineage: Eukaryota; Metazoa; Chordata; Actinopteri; Cichliformes; Cichlidae.
GGCAGGCUGUAUUGUUGUCUACAGUUGGUCAUAGCACCUUUUCACAAUUGCUUAACUGCUUAGUACGUUCUUCAGCUGCAAACUCUAUUUGCUCAGUUCACAGUUCACUGAAAACAUUUGAAUGCAUUCAUGCACACAACACUGUCCAGUCAGUCAGCCAGCACAGAGCUUCCAAAAUGCCUCCAACCUGUAGCAUGCUUUAUUCUGUUAUGUGUGUCAUCACAUGUGACUAGUAGCACGUAUCUAUUAAGACAUUCAGUCAGAGUGCUUUAUGCACAUGGCAAACAGUGUGCAUGGACAGUGCAGAGAAAAUACACAAUCUUCGAUAUUCCAACAAAUUCAUUCAGGCUUUAAAGCCCUCAGCUAACAUGUUAAAUCUUAAAAUUCAUGACAAUACAAUUAGAAAAAGACUAAACAGGCCUUCCAAACAUCUUGGAAAGGUUGCCAGGAGAAAGCCACACUGUCAGGGCUCUGUGUGCGGGCAGUCGGAGAUGAGGAUCCAAACGCAGGACUCGGAGACUGAAUUGCAACAGAAAACCUCGGCUUUAUUGCUGGCGAUGAGCAACACAUGAACUGAACAAUGACACUGAGCACAGAAACACACAUACAAAAUCUGAGGGUACGACAUGACAGAGAGCAAAGGCAAACACAGGGCUUAUAUACACAGGGGAAUAAUCAGGGAAUGGAAAACAGGAGGGAGACACAACUGGGAGAGAUUAGGGCUAACGAGACAGGGGAGCGAAGCUAGACACGCUGACAUAAGACAAACCUUCACAAUAAAACAGGAAACAAGAAACAGACUUAAUACUGAACUAAACCUAUACUAAACAUGAGACGCAAACCUAAGAACUAAUCCCUCACCAAGAAUAACUGAAACAUACUAAAUCAUCAUCAUCAUCAUCAUCAUCAUCAUCAAAGCUUGACAAGAGAUCAAGAAAAAAAAAUACAAAAUCAAACCAAAAAAAAAGAGACUCAAAACACUGGGUCAAAAUAACCCAGAAGUGUGACACACACUGGCUUCAGGACCUGGACACAAUCACUGAGUCAGCCUUAAACAUGUACACCAAAUAUGAGGCCCUCUGUCUGACUGCCAAACUUUGACUGAAAUUAUGUCAGGAAACAGGACAAGGAUCCCAAGGUAACCAACAGAUCUACAAUAGAUUCGCUGAAAAAACAUCGAUAUGAAAAGCAAUCAUGGUCAGCAUCCAGAGCACAGGACAGCAGUGCACAAACAAAUGCCUACAAACGGCAAACGAAACGUAAAGAAAAGUUGGUCAGAUUUCAUCAAGGAUUACGUGUGAGACUGAUAAAGCAAUACAGAAAAUGAUCAUGAUCUGCUAGUAAAGGUUGUACUAGUUACAGUAUCAUGGGUGCAUUUUCUUUUUCUUUGAUUUACGUUCUGUACGCUGCUUUUCAGUCCAG